This is a small nucleolar RNA of Esox lucius (northern pike), 138 nucleotides long. Ensembl annotates it as small nucleolar RNA SNORA57. NCBI's taxonomy places the organism in Eukaryota, Metazoa, Chordata, Actinopteri, Esociformes, Esocidae. The record is from Ensembl.
CCUCCAUUCUUGGCAUGCACGCUGUUCCUUUGUACUCGUGUGUGUAUGUUAUGGAGGAAUAACACAAGUCCAGCGCUAUGUCUUCGGUGUCAGAAUUGUUCCUGUAUUCUGGUUCUAUCCUCAAUCGCUGGCACAUCU